GACGAACGCUGGCGGCGUGCUUAACACAUGCAAGUCGAACGGAAAGGCCCUGCUUUUGUGGGGUGCUCGAGUGGCGAACGGGUGAGUAACACGUGAGUAACCUGCCCUUGCCUUUGGGAUAACUUCAGGAAACUGGGGCUAAUACCGGAUAGGAGCUACUGCUGCAUGGUGGGGGUUGGAAAGUUUCGGCGGUUGGGGAUGGACUCGCGGCUUAUCAGCUUGUUGGUGGGGUAGUGGCUUACCAAGGCUUUGAAGGGUAGCCGGCCUGAGAGGGUGACCGGCCACAUUGGGACUGAGAUACGGCCCAGACUCCUACGGGAGGCAGCAGUGGGGAAGAUUGCACAAUGGGCGGAAGCCUGAUGCAGCAACGCCGCGUGCGGGAUGACGGCAUUCGGGUUGUAAACCGCUUUCGCCUGUGACGAAGCGUGAGUGACGGUAAUGGGUAAAGAAGCACCGGCUAACUACGUG
This 468-nucleotide ribosomal RNA is filed under the name uncultured bacterium. RNAcentral describes it as "partial 16S ribosomal RNA". It matches the Rfam family "Bacterial small subunit ribosomal RNA", at positions 28 to 507 of the family's 1533-position model. The record is from RNAcentral.